This 334-nucleotide ribosomal RNA is filed under the name uncultured Leptolinea sp. RNAcentral's name for it is "bacterial SSU rRNA". It matches the Rfam family "Bacterial small subunit ribosomal RNA", at positions 1034 to 1382 of the family's 1533-position model. The record is from RNAcentral. Lineage: Bacteria; Bacillati; Chloroflexota; Anaerolineae; Anaerolineales; Anaerolineaceae.
ACAGGUGCUGCAUGGCUGUCGUCAGCUCGUGUCGUGAGAUGUUCGGUUAAGUCCGCUAACGAGCGCAACCCUCGUCGUGUGUUAUACGUGUCACACGAUACUGCCGGUAUCAAGCCGGAGGAAGGUGGGGAUGAUGUCAAGUCAGCAUGGCCUUUAUAUCCUGGGCUACACACACGCUACAAUGGCAGAUACAAUAGGUUGCGAAACCGCGAGGUGGAGCCAAUCCUCAAAGUCUGUCUCAGUUCAGAUUGUAGGCUGCAACUCGCCUGCAUGAAGUUGGAGUUGCUAGUAAACGCAGGUCAGCUAUACUGCGUUGAAUACGUUCCCGGGGUUU